This is a long non-coding RNA of Homo sapiens (human), 7536 nucleotides long. RefSeq lists it as uncharacterized. NCBI's taxonomy places the organism in Eukaryota, Metazoa, Chordata, Mammalia, Primates, Hominidae. The record is from RefSeq and is a predicted model, not a curated record. The transcript has 3 exons.
GUAUCCCCGUAGUGUAUCUAAUACUCCUACUCCUCGGGAAGUGCAGCCCGGUGCACAACACUUUAUAGCUUUUGAACUCCCAGAGUCCAGAAUACACUCUCCGUGUUUUUUUUGUUUUUGUUUUUGUUUUUUGUUUUUUUUUCAGCCCGUAGACUCUGUUCCUCCAAUGUUCCAUCCCUGUGCUAGGAGCUGGGUAUGAAGCAGUGAAUUAGAGAAUCACGUUUUCUGUUCUCCCAAAACUCAGUCGAAUGGGGAACAGAGAACAGUUACCGGGUCAUUACAGCCCAGUGUGGUCUCAGCUGUGCUGGGGAAAGCGCACAGGAGAAGCCUCACUUUCCCGCCCCCUGGUCGGGGAGGCUUUUUCUUGAUGACGUUGGUGGCUCCCUUCAGAGAACACAAAUCCCUACUGUAUUACCUGCAGUGCAGAAAAAUGACCAGCAGGUGGCAGUGGCGACACAAAAGAAUUCCCCCAUGAACCUUUCCUCGGAAAUUUUCUUUCAUAAAUUAACAGAUGAAUUAAUACAACAAAUAUUCACUGGACACCUUCUGUGUGCCAGGCAUUGUAUGCGCCGGGCAUACAAUGAUGAGCAAGGCGAACAUGGUCCCUGCCUUCAUGUAACUGAACACUAAUUCAGUCCUGUAUGUAUUCCAGAAGUAUUUCCUGAUACCAAACCUGUGCUAAACACUGUCCUCGCCCUGGGGAGAUGGAAGGUGCAUAAAGGAUAAAUCGUUAGACCUGGGUGUAAAGGAGGAUAUUGACAGCCGACCUAGGAGCAGGACCCCCAGGCUAAGUGCUAGAAUGGCCUUGGGUUAUCCUGUGCCCUGGCUCCGCCCCUAUGGUAUUUUAAUUUAAUUAGUCACCCAGAGUAUUCUUUUUAAAACUCUCCAGGAGAUUUUAAAGUUUGGCAAGGGCUCAGAACCACUGGUUUGGUGUCCUGGCAUGGUUAACAUAUUAACUCAUCAUUUAAUUAAUUUCCAAAGUAUUUGCACAACCAUUCUGUAUUAGAUGAUUUGCAUAUAUUAUUUCUAAUCCUUCUGCAAAGUCCUUGAAGGUAAUAACAAUCAUGACCAAAACAGCCAACAUUUACAAUAUUUACUGAGGGCAUUCUCUGAGCCAGAUUCCAUUCUGAGUGUUUUAUAUCUAUGAACUCAUUUAGUUAUCACAACAACCCUAAGACACAGAUAUUAUAUCUUUAUUCCUACUUUAUUUUAUUUUUAUUUUUGAGACAGGGUCUCAUUCUGUCACCCAGGCUGGAGUGCAGUGGCGUGAACACAGCUCACUUCAGCCUUGACCUCCCUUUCAAGAGAUCCUCCCACCUUAGCCUCCCGAGUCGCUGGGACCACUGGCGUGCACCAUCAUGCCUGGCUAAUUUAAAAAUUUUUUAUGAAGACAGGGUCCUGAGGACCCUGAGGUUACCCAGGCUGGUCCUGAACUCCUGACCUCAAGUGAUCCUCCUGUCUCGUUCUUUCAAAGUGUUGAGAUUACAGGCAUGAGCCAUCAUGCCUGGUCAUCAUCUCCAUUUUGUAUCCAAGGAGAAUGCAGCGCAGAACGGUUGGGUAACGUGUUAAAGGUCACAAGCUAGUUAGUGGUAUAAAUAAGAUUCAAAUCCAGGUGGUCCAAGUCCGGUCUUAACCACUGCACCAUGCAGCCAUUUUACAGAUGAGAAAACUGAGGCUCAGGUGGAACUCACUGGUGAAAAGUCCCCUCAAGCAGGAAGUGGCUGAGCUGCAAUUUGAGCUGAGGAUUCUCUAGCUUUCAAGUCAGCCUGAUUCAAUUUUGACCCAGUCCUCAGUAAGAGUUUGAAAACAAUGUCAUAUGGAAUUUUUCCCCAGCAGGAACCAGCUCUUGGAAGGCAUUUGUGUGUAUCUUCAGCACCUAGAAGAUGGCAGAAGAGUCAAAGGAAUAGGAACUUGAAUUUGAAACUGGAGGCCUGUGUCUGCUGCACCACCUUGAGUGAGUUGCUUAUGUCUCCAUACUCCAUUUUUUUCUGCCCAUAAACAGUCUGGACCUUAGCCGAGACAUGGCUAGGCAGUGACAUGUAGUCACACUUUGAAAUAAGAUCAUCUAAGGCAGGUUUUCUCAACUUAGACAGGUUUUACAUUUGGAAUGGAUAAUUCUUUGUGGUGGGGGCUGUCCUGGGCACUGGAGGAUAUUGAGCAGCAUCCUGGGCCCUGACCUGCUAGAAGCCGGUAGCACCCCUCUUCCCUGACAAGUUGUGACAACUCAUAAUUUCUCUAGAAAUUGUAUUUACACAUGUCCCCUGGAAAGCAAAAUCGCCUCUGGUUGAAAACCACUGGUCGAAUGUUUUAAACAAUUCGGGUUGCAACUGGUGUAACUCCAGCCGUUCUCUCCCAGGAAUGCAAAUGAAUUGGACCGAUGGCCUUAUAGAUCUACUCACGAACCCACUCUCGUUUCUGUUUUCUUUUUCUAUUUUCCCCUCUCUUUAACAAUAGAAGAAAAUGUACAUUUCUGGAGCACAUUUGAACAAAAAGCUCGAAAUCAAGUCCCCUAGUAAUAGUUACAAAUGGUUUGCAAUAUGCCCUACAAGCAGUGGAGCUUUGAAACAGAGUGGUGAUUAGCAGCCAAUGUUAACUGACGACUUGCUAUGUGCCAAGCACACCAUUCAUUAAAAGCCUUUAUAUUUAUGAUUGGCAUGUUCGUUUUUCAAUCUUUUUGGUGAGAAAGCUGGCUUGUAUAAAGUCAUGGUGCUUGUAAGAGGCAGGGCUGGGGUACAAACCUGGACGUGCUGGUUUUUAGUGCUGUCCAUUUAAUGGUUCUGCUAUAACAAAGGCCCUUCUUUUACCCAAAUCCCCUAGGGUUAUCAUGGAUUUCUGUGAGAGACCGCUUUCCCAGAGACAGAGAUUUCUAAAUGAGGACGGGAACUCAGCUAACACUGGACAUGCUGGCCAAGAUGUGGCCACAGGAGACGGCUCAACAGUGGAAGCUCCUACGGUGGCCACAGUCUGGCCACAGCACCUGUGGGCUCUGUCCAGGCUGGGAAAUCCCUGUGUCUCGUAUCCCAGGUGUUCUGGGCUCAGGGCUGUGAGAACCAGGGCCUCCCGGGGAAUCGCUGUCUCUUAAGCAAGCUAAGUGGCUCCUGGAGAGCCACUCAUAAAACCCUUGCCGGAUUUGUCAGAUUCUUUUUAGUUUUGGUGGUGUGGUUUAUGUCUUUGGGAUGGUUACCUCAGGAGUCAUCCACCACGUCCUUAUCAAAGAGGGGAAGUUGCAACAAAGCAGAGGUGUGAUAAAGACCACAUUCAUUUUGCUAACAAUAUCAACGACAGUAAUAGUAACAUCAUUUGUCGAGCCUCCUGGGCUUGGGGGAUUCAAGGAUCAACUGGAGACAAUCCUAGCAGGUGAGUUAUGUGUUUAUUCUAUAUAUAUAUUUUAAAAUUCUUUCUCUUUCUUACUCUAGGGAAUGUGAUUCUACAAACAUAUAAACAGAUCAUUUCAAUAAACUGCAGCAGCUGUGGUGACAGAUGUCACUGUAGGUUCCAUGGGAAUUCUGAGGACAGAAACACAACCCGGCCUAGGAAAUCAGGGAGGACUUCCUGGAGGAGGUGGUGCUGACGAUUCAUUGUGAUUUCCUUCAUAGACCUGUCUCUCCACCCUCCUUUCCAAAUAGGCCCCAGGCUCCAUGAGAAUGUGGGUCAUAUCUGUUUAUACCUUACUGUUUUUCCAGGGGCUAGUGCCAGGGUUCCCAAACUUUCACCAAGGUGACCCAGGAUGCCACCAGGAACUCACAGGGGGUGCUGUGGGAUUUUUAAAAAAAGUUCUGAGGGCCGGGCACAGUGGCGCAUGGCUGUAAUCCCAGCACUUUGAGAGGUCAAGGCGGGUGGAUCACAAGGUCAGGAGACCAUCCUGGCUAACACGGUGAAACCCCAUCUCUACUAAAAAUACAAAAAAUUAGCCAGGCGUGGUGGCGGGCACCUGUAGUCCCAGCUACUCUGGAGCCUGAGGCAGGAGAAUGGCGUGAACCCGGGAGGUGGAGCUUGCAGUGGGCUAAGAUUGCGCCACUGCACAUCGGCCUGGGCAACAGAGCCAGACUCCGUCUCAAAAAAAAAAAAAAGUUCUGAGGAAACACAAUGAUGUGUUGGACCCUUGUGAACUACCAGCUCAAGAUAGUUCACCGUUUCAACAUUAGAUCACGUCACCUUUGUUUUGGUGAUGACUCAUCAUUGCAAAGCUGGAUUUUUUUGUGGUGCUCGUGCUAACUGUGACAAAAUCAAUGUGGAACAGGAAAUUAGGGUGGCGAAGUCCCAUCUGAUCCUAACGUUUAAGAAGAUUUGCACAGCCCAACGGGUAUACACAUCCUCGUAGCAGCAAUUGUCAUUAUUAUUAUUAUUAUUAUUAUUAUUAUUAUUAUUAUUAUUAUUAUUAUUUGAGACAGAAUCUUGCUCUGUCUCCCAGCCUGGAGUGCAGUGGCAUGAUCUCAGCUCACUGCAACCUCCGCCUCCCGGGUUCCAGCGAUUCUCCCGCCUCAGCCUCCCAGGUAGCUGGGAUUACAGGCACGUGCCACCACACCCAGCUAAUUUUUGUAUUUUUAGUAGAGACGGGGUUUCACUAUGUUGGCCAGGCUGGUCUCGAACCCCUGACCUCAGGUAAUCUGCCCGCCUCAGCCUCCCAAAGUGCUAGGAUUACAGGUGUAAGCCAUCACGCCCAGCCAGCAAUUGUCAUUAUUUAAUAAUAAAAAAAACCGUUUUUCUUUUAAUGUAUGUGCAUUACUUUUUCAAAUGGCUACUAUGCUGUGAAGAGAUAACUACUCAUUCAGUUGUUUGUACCUAACUGUUUAAUAAAUGGAACUGGUAUUUAAUAAAUGGAAAUGGUAUUUUGGCCUAGGAAAUCUGUGAAAAAAUUCCUGAGACACCAAGGGUGUCAUGAGUUGAGAAAGUUUGGGAACCUCUGUCCUAGCGUGUGCCUGCAUAUAGGAGGCCUGAACAACUGAGUAAGCUGAAUGACUGAGUGAGUUGCUCCCAACAAUCCUUCUUGGUAAAGGGUAUUAUUUUCUUUCACAGAUGGGGGCUCUGAGGCCCAGAGAGGGCAAGUUACUUGCCCAAGGUCACUCAGCAGAGCUGGAGGGUGUGUCUGACUUUGACACCCAGACUCUUCCCUUUAUCUCUGCCUGACCUGUCUGUUCUUAAAGUGCCCUGGGGUAAAUGGACUAGGAUUAAAAAGAUAUGGCUUUCAGUCCCAGGGGACCAAACUAUGGCUUUGGGCAAGUGACUGGGCAAGAGGCUGUAGACAACCAGAGCUUAUACAGUUUUCUUUUCUUUUCUUUUCUGUUUCUAUGUUGUUGAGACAGGGUCUCCCUCUGUUGCCCAGGCUGGAGUGCAGUGGCGUGAUCUCUGCUCACUGCAACCUCCGCCACCUGAGCUCAAGUGAUUUUCCUGCCUCGGCCUCCUGAGUAGCUCAGAUUGCAGGUGCUCACCAUCAAGUCUGGCUAAUUUUUGUAUUUUUAGUAGAGACGGGGGUUUCACCAUGUUGGCCACACUGGUCUGGAACUCCUGACCGCAAGUGAUCCUCCUGCCUCAGCCUCCCACAAGUGUUGGGAUUACAGGCGUGAGCCACCUCACCACUGGGCCCAGGGGCUUAUGCAGUUUUCUGUCUGCUUCAUUAACUUCUUGGUGGAUCUUUGUCCACUCUUAAGCACCAGAGGUUUGCCCAAAAGCUGAACUGCAGAGUGAUGAGGUUGGGAAGAUGCUUUUGGGUUUAGUCAGGCUUGAGUUAGAAUUCUGUUCUUCCUUUCUGUUGUGUGACCUCAGGAAAGCUACUCACCCUCUCCAGUCCUUCUUUGCCUGCUUUUAAGUGGACAGGCAUUCACCUGUGCGAUUUCCGUGAGGGUGAAGAGUGUUAGUGUUGGGGAAAAGGUCAGCCUACUGAAGGGGCCCAUCAAAUGGGUGCUGUUCCCUUUGUUCAGUCGACAAAACGUUUCAAAGCUGUUUUAUGUCUGACAACCUCAACCUUAAAAAUGCCUUCAGAACCUAGACUGCAUCCUCCCUCUUACUCAGGAGCCGCGCUGCCAGAAUCGGACCAUCUCUCGCCUCCUGCGUUAUCUCCCAUCAGCCUCACCCGCUUGUCACGUCGCUGCCACCACACGCAGGGCUCUUCUUCAGGCUUUUGGGAGUACCGCGUGUCUCCUGACACCCCGCGUGGCUCGUGAACUCAUUAGCAUGGGUGUAAGGGAAGCCGUCUCUACUCAGCACUGCAGAUCCAAUGCUGAGAUUUCAGGGAAAAGCAUUCCCGAAGGGAGGGAGGGAGGCUUGCGUCUUGGAAAUCCAGCAGCAGCUGCCGCAGCUCAGAGGGUCUUUAGAGACUGGGUCUCAUUGGUGAAGUGCUUUUUCUUUUUUAAAAAAAUGAUGCCUCCACCUUUCAGUAUUUUAAUAGAAGCUUUUAUUUUAAGCUUUUCAUCUCUGGGUCUCUGCAGCUGGAGUUACUAAAGUGGCUGCUUCUGAUCGCUCUUGCAGUCACUAGAAGGAAAUGGGAAUGACACUGACGUCCUAGGGCUGCCCUUGACAAAGGACCACAAACCGGGAGGCUUAGGACAGCAGAAACUUCUUGGCUGGGAGGCUGGAAGUCCAAAAUCAAGGUGUCAGCAGGGCCACACUCCCUCUGAAUGCUGUGGGCGGUUGGGGGGGGUCCUUCCUUCGUGCUCCCUGGCUUGCAGCUGCAUCACUCUAAUCUCUCCCUCUGUCACCCUGUGGCCUUCUCUGUAUCUGUGUCCCCAUCUGUGUCCAGAUUUCCCUCUUCUUACAAAGACACCAGUCAUUGGAUCAACACCCAUCUUAAUCCAGUGCGACCUCAGCUUAACUUGACCACAUCUGCAAAGAUUCUAUUUCCAAUCAAAUCCACAGUUACAGAUACUGUGGGUUAGAACUUUGAAGUUCUAAUCAAGGUCACAGUUACAGAUACCAUGGGUUAGGAUGUCAAAGACGCUACGUCCAAUCAAGGUCACAGUUACAGAUACCAUGGGUUAGGAUGUCGAAGACACUCUGUCCAAUCAAGGUCACAGUUACAGAUACUGUGGGUUAGGAUGUCGAAGACACUGUGUCCAAUCAAGGUCAUGGUUACAGAUACUGUGGGUUAGAACUUUGAAGUUCUAAUCAAGGUCACAGUUACAGAUACCAUGGGUUAGGAUGUUGAAGACACUGUGUCCAAUCAAGGUCACGGUUACAGAUACUGUGGGUUAGAACUUUGAAGUUCUAAUCAAGAUCACAAUUACAGAUACCAUGGGUUAGGAUGUCAAAGACGCUAGGUCCAAUCAAGGUCACAGUUACAGAUACUGUGGGUUAGAACUUUGAAGUUCUAAUCAAGGUCACAAUUACAGAUACCAUGGGUUAGGAUGGCGAAGACGCUAUGUCCAAUCAAGGUCGCAGUUACAGAUACUGUGGGAAUCAAAGAGUUAAUGCAUGCGCCAUUCUUAGAAUGACACCUGGCCUACAGUAAGUGCUCAAGUUAAAUUCUUGGUUCUUCAACACUAUCAAGACCUCACUGUGGCUUCUGGAGUUUGAACUGGCUGUAUUCCUAAUGGAGUUGUU